AGACAGCAGUAGCCACGGUAAUACAGAGGGUGCAAGCGUUAAUCGGAAUUACUGGGCGUAAAGCGCGCGUAGGUGGUUUGUUAAGUUGAAUGUGAAAUCCCCGGGCUCAACCUGGGAACUGCAUCCAAAACUGGCAAGCUAGAGUACGGUAGAGGGUGGUGGAAUUUCCUGUGUAGCGGUGAAAUGCGUAGAUAUAGGAAGGAACACCAGUGGCGAAGGCGACCACCUGGACUGAUACUGACACUGAGGUGCGAAAGCGUGGGGAGCAAACAGGAUUAGAUACCCGUGUAGUCCCUGUCUCUUAUAA
This 307-nucleotide ribosomal RNA is filed under the name uncultured bacterium. Its description in RNAcentral is "partial 16S ribosomal RNA". It matches the Rfam family "Bacterial small subunit ribosomal RNA", at positions 506 to 809 of the family's 1533-position model. The record is from RNAcentral.